This 162-nucleotide small RNA is filed under the name Octodon degus (degu). Its description in RNAcentral is "TUC338 (ENSODEG00000022629.1)". The record is from RNAcentral. Lineage: Eukaryota; Metazoa; Chordata; Mammalia; Rodentia; Octodontidae.
UUGACGGUGCAGAGACUGAAGCCCUCUGUGUGUCCGCAGGGCAGGCAUGGUUCAGAGCGUCCCCUUGUACAGCCCUGCCCACGAGCUCGUCCCUGGCCUGGAGGGACCCACUCUAGAGUGGUAAGUAAUUCAGUCUUGCUGCUAGCUCAGUCCCAGCUCUCU